RNAcentral lists this long non-coding RNA (2671 nucleotides) under Oryza sativa Indica Group (long-grained rice). RNAcentral describes it as "lncRNA OsIR64_12g0008520". Lineage: Eukaryota; Viridiplantae; Streptophyta; Magnoliopsida; Poales; Poaceae. The record is from RNAcentral.
AGGCAUCGAACAGAAGACAGGCAUCGGCGGCUUCGGCCACGGCGGUGGCGGCGUCCUGGUUCCGGGCUGGAACCUUGGCGAUCUCUCUCUCUUCUACCUCUCUUCAUACCUCCAGCUACCUCUCCUAGUUCUAGAAGUUUCAAGAACUUGUAUUCCCUAGUUUCUUCUUUUCUUUUUCACCCCAAAACAAUGGUUGCUUGUAUGGUGGAUCCUUGCUAUUGAAUUGGAGGAAUUGGGUUCCUAACAAUCUGGUAUCAGAGCCGUUCGGUUCACUGGGAUUCUUGUCAUGGAGGAGUUUGGGAGGCAGCCAUGCAAGAGGGAGCAGGAAUUGGGUUGGGAAAGUUUUCAUCCAAGCAGCACCCACCAACUGUUCGAUGAAAUGUCAAGCCCAUUGGAGGUGUUUGAGGAAGACGUUCUUCUUGUCAUGAGUGAGGAGAACAUCACAUGGGAUGAAGCACUCCAUCUGUUACAAGAGGAACUGAAGGAUGCCCAAUGUAGAUUUGAUGAGAAGCUAGAUCGUUUUUUGGAGGUGUUCGGCUUGAUGGGAGACAAGAGCAAUCAAUCUGAGGAAGACAAAAGGAGCAAUGAAUCUGAGGAAUUCAGUGCCUCCAUCAAGGAGCUCACCCCCACCACUGAGGCUGCUGCAUUUCAAUCACCCCAAGCAUCACCUUCUUCAGCGCUCACCAAGUGUUCGAUAAUUUGCUUUGGCCUCGACACCAUGUCUGACCUCAACAUGGCAGCAGCAGUUGUGUGCGCCACCACUUCUCUGGCCUCCAUGGAGUUAGUGGCUGGAGGGAACGCAACCUGUGAACCCUACGUUGACACCCCUGGUCAUCCCAAGGAGACGCAUGUCAAGUGUUCGAUGGUUGGCCUUGAGGUCAAGGGUGGCACCGACCACACCAGGGUCACAUGCCAGACCAUGAUAGGUGUGCCUGACGGCGUUCUAGUACCUGAUGCAUCAUCCAAGGUCUUCUCGCCAUGGUUGAUUGUUGAAAUGGACCUUGUUCCCUUGCUGCUCACUGUGUGUUCGAUGAAAUGUUCCAAAGACAAGAAGAAGCUGCUACUGGGGAAUGCUAAGAGAAAUUCAUGGACACCUUCUUGGGUGGGCGGAGUGAUUAGACGAUGGGAGUUGCAGCCUUUGCCAUGGCCUGGAUCCAAAUUAUAUUGGGAAGGUUUACCAUUGAUGCCCCCAUGGCCACCACCGACUCGAGUAAGCUUCCUGGCAUGUGAGACUUUUGAUAUUGGAGCUCUAGUCAUUGGAACAGUGAUUUUAACACAAGCGAUGGUUGAGAUAAAACCAUGGCCUCCACCAAGUGAAGUAAGUGGUCUUCCCUUACUUCCAAUUCAAAGUAUUGGAGCAUUUCAUACUGAGAGGAAAGUUACAGACUUGCAUUGGGCUGAGUUGAAAGCUUGGUCUCUGUUUGAUGAAAAUGGUACCAGCCACAUCCUAACAGAUGAGCCGUGUGAGCUUUACUUGGGUUGUGUAAUUUUCACUGCUGGAAACACUAGGAACCUUGAAAAGCUUGAGUUUAUAAGGUGGACCAAGUGGCAACAACAACUUUUUGCAGAAAGGGAUUAUCCUAAUAGUGCUGAAGGGAAUCAAUUAAUUGCUUGGAAUUUUAAGCAGUACAUUGAUGGAGGAGUGCUUUCCUUUGUUGCUAUAAAGUUGUCAAUCCAGCCAACAAACGUUGAGCAAAUCAGUCAGUACAUUGUUCAAUAUUCAAGUAUUGGGAGAGAAUUGGAUUUCUAUCAUAAAUUGCAUACACUAGCUCAAGUUAUUGGGAGAAAGGAUUCCUUACUUCAGCUAUCUGAACCCCAGUUAACAUCAUGUAAAGUUGGACAAAAUACUGAGAAGGGUGGAUGAUGUCUUAUCAUGGACAAGAGAUGCUCAGAUUUUUUCAAGCUUCUGGCAUUGUUAGAUGGGAAAUGGGAAGCUAUCAGACAUGCAAUGGUUUAUCUUAUCACAAAGCUAAUUCACAUAUCACCAAGGAAUGCACCCUUUAGAUCAAUAAUCAAUUAUCUGCUGGGAGGUAAUAAUCUUGUGGUUCUACACAAAUCAAUUGUUGGGAUCCACUUGGGAUGGUGGGUGUUUCCUUGUGACAUUGGAGUGAGACCCCUGGAAAAAUUGGUGAGGAGAUUAGCACAGUUCUGGCAACAUAAAGGACAAGCAAAGCCUUCUCUUGCAUUCCUGAACAGCAACCCAAGAACAAGCCGUGACAUGAUUUUGCACAGACCCUGGGAUCCUGGUGGUGGUAUCAAUUCCAUACUAUUUCAUUUCUAUCGGCUUGAGGGCAAGCCGAAUGUCAAGGAGAGGGGAUUGUUAGGAACCUGAUUGGGCUGUAUAUGGGCCAAGCUAGCCAAGUCCAAGCGAGGCCCAAGCAAGCAGAAGGAGCAGCAUACAAAAGCAACAGCAACAGCAUUGUUGGAAGGCAUCGAACAGAACACAGGCAUCGGCGGCUUCGGCCACGGCGGCGGCGUCCUGGUUCCGGGCUGGAACCUUGGCGAUCUCUCUCUCUUCUACCUCUCUUCAUACCUCCAGCUACCUCUCCUAGUUCUAGAAGCUUCAAGAACUUGUAUUCCCUAGUUUCUUCUUUUCUUUUUCACCCCAAAACAAUGGUUGCUUGUAUGGUGGAUCCUUGCUAUUGAAUUGGAGGAAUUGGGUUCCUAACAC